Molecule: ribosomal RNA, 421 nt
Filed under: uncultured Thermotogales bacterium
Lineage: Bacteria; Thermotogati; Thermotogota; Thermotogae; Thermotogales
Description: bacterial SSU rRNA
Rfam family: Bacterial small subunit ribosomal RNA
Source: RNAcentral
GGGGAAUCUUGGACAAUGGGCGAAAGCCUGAUCCAGCGACGCCGCGUGGAGGAAGAAGUCCUUCGGGAUGUAAACUUCUGAACUAGCCGAAUAAAAGGCCUGUGGACACACAGGAGAAGAAAGUAGGCUAGGAAAAGUCCCGGCUAACUACGUGCCAGCAGCCGCGGUAAGACGUAGGGGGCAAGCGUUACCCGGAAUUACUGGGCGUAAAGGGGGCGUAGGCGGUAAAAGAAGUCAUCUGUGAAAACCUAUUGCUCAACGAUAGGCUAGCGGAUGAAACUGAAUUACUUGAGGGCACCAGAGGUAGACGGAAUUACCCGAGUAGGGGUGAAAUCCGCAGAUACGGGUAGGAACGCCGGUGGAGAAGUCGGUCUACUGGGGUGCACCAGACGCUGAGGCCCGAAAGCUAGGGGAGCAAACC